GUGCCUGUACAUGUCCUAGGUUUAAACGUCAAACCAGCCUGUUUGCAGAGUUUGCAAGGGUAAAGCUAGAGGCCUAGAUCAACUCCAAGUAGCGGUGGAAAUGGAUGUCUGGAAAUCCAAAUACCUUGCAAAGUUCGCAAGAGUAAAGUUGCUAGAUAUUUUUCUUCCGUAUGUCCCAUAUAGAGCAACUCCAAGUAGCGGUGGAAAUAGAUGUCUGGAAAUCCAAAUACCUGAAUCUAUAUCUAGUAAAACUUGUAAUAUAGAUAUCCGCAUAUGUAUCCGUUCAUAAUGU
Molecule: long non-coding RNA, 292 nt
Filed under: Sorghum bicolor (sorghum)
Lineage: Eukaryota; Viridiplantae; Streptophyta; Magnoliopsida; Poales; Poaceae
Description: long non-coding RNA (SBIC_LNC003705)
Source: RNAcentral